RNAcentral lists this ribosomal RNA (206 nucleotides) under uncultured bacterium. RNAcentral describes it as "partial 16S ribosomal RNA". It matches the Rfam family "Bacterial small subunit ribosomal RNA", at positions 568 to 774 of the family's 1533-position model. The record is from RNAcentral.
UGCGUAGGUGGUUCCUUAAGUCAGGAGUGAAAGGCUACGGCUCAACCGUAGUAAGCUCUUGAAACUGGGAAACUUGAGUGCAGGAGAGGAAAGUGGAAUUCCUAGUGUAGCGGUGAAAUGCGUAGAUAUUAGGAGGAACACCAGUAGCGAAGGCGGCUUUCUGGACUGUAACUGACACUGAGGCACGAAAGCGUGGGGAGCAAACA